This 495-nucleotide ribosomal RNA is filed under the name uncultured bacterium. Its description in RNAcentral is "partial 16S ribosomal RNA". It matches the Rfam family "Bacterial small subunit ribosomal RNA", at positions 899 to 1397 of the family's 1533-position model. The record is from RNAcentral.
ACUCAAAGGAAUUGACGGGGGCCCGCACAAGCAGUGGAGUAUGUGGUUUAAUUCGAAGCAACGCGAAGAACCUUACCAGGACUUGACAUAGCAGUGAAUAAGGCAGAGAUGUCUUAGCUCUUCGGAGCGCUGUUACAGGUGGUGCAUGGUUGUCGUCAGCUCGUGUCGUGAGAUGUUGGGUUAAGUCCCGCAACGAGCGCAACCCCUGUUGUUAGUUGCCAUCAUUAAGUUGGGCACUCUAGCGAGACUGCCGGUGACAAAUCGGAGGAAGGUGGGGACGACGUCAAAUCAUCAUGCCCCUUAUGUCCUGGGCUACACACGUACUACAAUGGCUAUUACAGCAGGAUGCAAUAGAGUAAUCUGGAGCCAAUCCUCAAAAAUAGUCCCAGUUCAGAUUGUGGGCUGAAACUCGCCCACAUGAAGUCGGAAUUGCUAGUAAUUGCAGGUCAGCAUACUGCAGUGAAUACGUUCCCGGGCCUUGUACACACCGCCCGU